GACGAACGCUGGCGGCGUGCUUAACACAUGCAAGUCGAACGGAAGGGCCCUGCUUUUGUGGGGUGCUCGAGUGGCGAACGGGUGAGUAACACGUGAGUAACCUGCCCUUGACUUUGGGAUAACUUCAGGAAACUGGGGCGAAUACCGGAUAGGAGCUCCUGCUGCAUGGUGGGGGUUGGAAAGUUUCGGCGGUUGGGGAUGGACUCGCGGCUUAUCAGCUUGUUGGUGGGGUAGUGGCUUACCAAGGCUUUGACGGGUAGCCGGCCUGAGAGGGUGACCGGCCACAUUGGGACUGAGAUACGGCCCAGACGCCUACGGGAGGCAGCAGUGGGGAAUAUUGCACAAUGGGCGGAAGCCUGAUGCAGCAACGCCGCGUGCGGGAUGACGGCCUUCGGGUUGUAACCCGCUUUCGCCUGUGACGAAGCGUGAGUGACGGUAAUGGGUAAAGAAGCACCGGCUAACUACGUG
RNAcentral lists this ribosomal RNA (468 nucleotides) under uncultured bacterium. RNAcentral describes it as "partial 16S ribosomal RNA". It matches the Rfam family "Bacterial small subunit ribosomal RNA", at positions 28 to 507 of the family's 1533-position model. The record is from RNAcentral.